Molecule: ribosomal RNA, 1206 nt
Filed under: uncultured organism
Description: bacterial SSU rRNA
Rfam family: Bacterial small subunit ribosomal RNA
Source: RNAcentral
AUGCAAGUCGAGGGGUAACGAUGGUGCUUGCACCAGGCGACGACCGGCGCACGGGUGAGUAACGCGUAUGCAACCUGCCUGUACCUGGAGGAUAGCCCUUGGAAACGAGGAUUAAUACUGCGUAAUAUAUUUGGUCCGCAUGGGCUGAAUAUCAAAACUACGGUGGGUACAGAUGGGCAUGCGUGCCAUUAGCUAGAUGGUAAGGUAACGGCUUACCAUGGCGACGAUGGCUAGGGGUUCUGCAAGGAAGGCCCCCCACACUGGUACUGAGACACGGACCAGACUCCUACGGGAGGCAGCAGUGAGGAAUAUUGGUCAAUGGAGGCAACUCUGAACCAGCCAAGCCGCGUGAAGGAAGACUGUCCUAUGGAUUGUAAACUUCUUUUUUGGCAGAAUAAAUUACCGUACUUGUACGGUAUUGCAUGUAUGCCAGGAAUAAGCAUCGGCUAACUCCGUGCCAGCAGCCGCGGUAAUACGGAGGAUGCAGGCGUUAUCCGGAUUUAUUAGGUUUAAAGGGUGUUCAGGCUGCCUGGUAAGUCAGAGGUGAAAGUCGGCCGCUCAACGGUCGAAUUGCCUUUGAAACUGUCAGGCUCGAGUAUGGAUGUGGCAGGCGGAAUGUGUAGUGUAGCGGUGAAAUGCAUAGAUAUUACACAGAACCCCGACUGCGAAGGCAGCUUGCCAAACCAUUACUGACGCUGAAGCACGAAAGCGUGGGUAGCGAACAGGAUUAGAUACCCUGGUAGUCCACGCCGUAAAACUUUGCUCACUCGCUGUUGGCGAUACACAGUCAGCGGCCAAGGGAAACCGAUAAGUGAGCCACCUGGGGAGUACGACCGCCAAGUUGAAACUCAAAGGAAUUGACGGGGGCCCGCACAAGCGGUGGAACAUGUGGUUUACUUCGAUGAUACGCGAGGAACCUUACCUGGUCUUAAUGUUCGAUGCUUGAUUGGGGAACCAUUCUUUCCUUCGGGACUUUGUACAAGGUGCUGUAUGGUUGUCGUCAGCUCGUGCCGUGUGGUGUCGGGUUAAGUCUCCAUUACGAGCGCUACCCCUAUUGUUAGUUACCAGCGCGUAAUGUCGGGACGUCUAGCGUAACUGCCUGGUGUAAACUGUGAGGAAGGUGGGGAUGACGUCAUAUCAGCACGGCCCUUAUGUCCAGGGCUACACACGUGUUACAAUGGCCGGUACAGCGGGCAGCGAGGCAGC